Hibiscus syriacus is the source of this 296-nucleotide long non-coding RNA. RefSeq lists it as uncharacterized. The transcript has 3 exons. The record is from RefSeq and is a predicted model, not a curated record. Lineage: Eukaryota; Viridiplantae; Streptophyta; Magnoliopsida; Malvales; Malvaceae.
AAAAUAACUAAUGAAAACCUCUCAAGUAAUUUGAUUUCCAAAACUUUGAAAAAAAAAUAUGCUAACCUUUUUAACCUGUGACCCAGUUCAAAUGUGAAUAUUUGAUCAUGUUCUCCCCAUAAUAUUAACGUGGGCUGAAAAAUUGUAGGAUUGUAAAUUAAAGCAAUUCUUUUUAGAAAAGUAUCAAAUGUUUAUGGAUAAAUAAAGAACCGUUUCGAAUUCAGACGAACCUGAGAGAUUUUGGAAUAUUUGAAAAUUUCCGAUCUGUGGUUCGGAAUCAGCUCUUUCUUGUCUUC